AUUUAGGUAGUUUAAAUAAAAUGUUGAUUUGUGGCGUCAACGAUAUCAAAAGAUCCUAGGUU
RNAcentral lists this transfer RNA (62 nucleotides) under Staphylinoidea sp. 5 KM-2017. RNAcentral's name for it is "tRNA-His". Lineage: Eukaryota; Metazoa; Arthropoda; Insecta; Coleoptera. The record is from RNAcentral.